CAAACUUGAACUAUUGUCCGUCCUCGGACAAAACAAAGAUGAACCAAGAAUGGAUCAACAAGAGUGCAGAGAAAAGUGGAUAACAUUGUGGCUUCAGAUUUUUCAAUAAAAAUACCAACAUGCAUUUGUAUCUCCCAUCAUCAAGAUAUCACACUCAUGACAAACUUCAAAUUAUGGUCUCAAUGACUUGCAGUCCUCGCCAAAAAGAUAUAGAAUUUAAGAACUCUCAACUCUCAAGUGUAU
Molecule: long non-coding RNA, 243 nt
Filed under: Salvia miltiorrhiza (redroot sage)
Lineage: Eukaryota; Viridiplantae; Streptophyta; Magnoliopsida; Lamiales; Lamiaceae
Description: long non-coding RNA (SMIL_LNC011606)
Source: RNAcentral